Molecule: transfer RNA, 72 nt
Filed under: Marmota marmota marmota (Alpine marmot)
Lineage: Eukaryota; Metazoa; Chordata; Mammalia; Rodentia; Sciuridae
Also listed under: 1 other name
Rfam family: tRNA
About the family: Transfer RNA (tRNA) molecules are approximately 80 nucleotides in length. Their secondary structure includes four short double-helical elements and three loops (D, anti-codon, and T loops).
Source: Rfam by way of RNAcentral
UGAGAUCUAGCUCAGGGGCAGAGCGCUUGCCUCACAUGCAUGAGGCACUGGGUUCCAUCCUCAGCACCACAU